Molecule: ribosomal RNA, 468 nt
Filed under: uncultured bacterium
Lineage: Bacteria
Description: partial 16S ribosomal RNA
Rfam family: Bacterial small subunit ribosomal RNA
Source: RNAcentral
GAUGAACGCUGGCGGCGUGCUUAACACAUGCAAGUCGAACGGAAAGUCGCUGCGGUUGUGGGGUGCUCGAGUGGCGCACAGGGGAGUUACACGUGAGUAACCUCCCCCUUAUGUUAGGGUAUCUUCAUGACACUUGGGCUAAUACCCUGUAGGAGCUUCUGUUUCACAGUGAUCGUUGGUGAGAGUCGGCGUUGGGGGAUGGUCUCUCGGCUUAUCAGCUUGUUGGUGGGGUAGCGGCUUUCCAAGGCUUUGAUGGGUAGCCGGCCUGCGAGGGUGAACGGCCACAUUGGGACUGAGAUACGGCCCAGACUCCUACGGGAGGCAGGAGUGGGGAAUUUUGCAAAAUGGGCGGAAGCGUGAUGCAGAAACGCCGCGUGCGGGAUGACGGCCUUCGGGUUGUAAACAGCUUUCGCAGGUGACGAAGCGUGAGUGACGGUAAUGGGUAAAGAAGCAACGGCUAACUACGUG